CAUAAUAUAUCUCAUUUGAACAGCUUCCCUUUUUCCCUUGUUCGUGCCUGAGCCUUCAGGUUGCUAAUACAUAACUAAAAACAUUUAAUUUAAGCAAGGGUGAGCAUUUGAGUGCCCAACAAGUAAUAGCAAUUAUAUAUAUAAGCUGAAAGAAUAUAAAUAUUCUCCUUACAUAACACUUUUACAACAAAUUGAAAGUUGUGAAGUAAUUUGUACUGAUAAAAAAUUCACAUAACAACUCUCUUUCAAAUUCAUUAAAUUUGGCUCUGGCUCUACCCUUGAAUAGGGUUUAAGAAACAUACUAUGAACAUUCUUUUCAUUUUCGAAAAGGUUUAGCAGAAAUCCAUUCGCAAACCGUCACAACUUACGGGCACGGAGGGUGAUCAGCCCCGUUGUACCUUGCAUUGAUCAAUACUACAUAACUUGAACGAAAUUCAUCGCUCACUUUAUCCGCCACGGGCGCAAAAUUUUCCCAUAUAGGGAUGUUCAUACAUGUCUGGUUCCAAACCCGAAGGUUUUUAAUCUUGCUCAACAAUAAUAUGUAAUUCAACAUAUAUAUACGGGUAAUUGACAAAGGUGUAUCAACAUGUGAAUAAAUGCCAUGAUUAUCCAAGUGGGGACACUUGUAUAACCAUUUAGAAAUUAACGAACAGAAAAUAUAUCUGAAUUAACAUGUUGAUAAUCAAAGCAUACAUAAUCUUUACAGGAAUAGAAAAGAAUUCUGAAACUUCUUACUCAUGUCCAUUGCAUAAAGGAAAUGCAAAGGUAGGAUACUUGCCUGAUUCGCUGAUUACAAAUCUCAACUUAGGUUUUAUCUCUUUAUCACAACCUAUCAAUAAUCAGAUCAUUCGUUCGAUUAGAACAAUAUAUCUUAACACAUAGUACUGUCUAUUACAGUCAGCACAUAGUCUAAUCACAUAAUCACAGUGAUCAUACUUUUAGUUCCUAUUCUAUACUUGAAAUAUUUUUAUACAUUUUUCAAAUAUCUCAUCCAUGCUCUUACAGUAGUCUUUUCUUUCUUUUAUAAGGUCUGACAUUUGUCGGCGUACCGACAGCUUUAUCGGGUAAAUACUGAGUCUAAGACUCUUAUUCUAUACCUCAACAUCUGUAAAUAUCAGACAUCUUAUUUUUAAUCAUUUUCGCAAUUUCCAGAAAUUGAAAAAUUUAAAAUAAUUCAAAUCUGUCACUAAAGGGCCUAUAGUGAUAUAACUGUUACUAUAGGUGUUCUUCUUCAAAUUCAGAACUUCAUAAUCGGUUCUCAAGUCAGCUAGUUUGGCCGGCUAUAACUUUCAAAUAUCGGAAUCAUAAUUAAAUGAUUUAAACAUUAAACAAUUCCAUUAUCAUUAAUAGUUUAAUUAAUACUAAACUAUUAAUGAAACCAUUGCCAAAAUAUAAAAGUUAUUUAUAAUAACUCAAACUAUUUUUAAAACAUUUAUAUUACCCAAAUAAUUACCAUUAAUAUUUAAAUAUUAAUGUACUAUUUAUCCAAAUAUUAAAAGUCAUUAAUUAUAACUUAAAAUAUUUUUAAAUCCUUAAUAUCCUCUUUAAAUGGUUUUUAAAUAAGUAAAACCAUUUUUAAACUAUUUAUUUAAUAUUAAUCAUUAAAUAAACUAAAUAUCAUUAAUAUUAUCUUAAUAUCAUUAAUAUUUAAUUAUUAAUGAAAUUAUCAUUUAAAUAUUAAAAGUUAUAUUUUAUAACUUAAAAUAUUUUUAAAUACCUUAUUUUCAUUUAAAAUGAUUUUUAUAAUAUUAAAAUCAUUUUUAAACUAAAUUAUUUAAUAUAAUCAUUAAAUAACUUUAAUAUCAUUAAUAAUUAUUAAUUAAUGAAAUUCAUCACAAAAUAUUAAAAGUCAUCACAAAUAACUCAUUUACAUAAUCAAUUCCAAGCCAAAAUAAACAUAGUAAACUAACUAGUUUAUUAACAAUACUAACUAAACUUCAAAAAUUCAAACUUAACUAACAAUUAAACAUAAUAACAUUACAAAAAUUAAAUAAGAAACAUACCCGAAAAUACGAAUUCCACAAACUGAAUACGUACUUCCACGCCAAAAUUUAACUAAGGAGAUCUUUAUAAAAAGUCCUCCUACAACAAAGCCUUUCUCAAAAAUUGGAGGCC
RNAcentral lists this long non-coding RNA (2115 nucleotides) under Panax ginseng (ginseng). RNAcentral's name for it is "long non-coding RNA (PGIN_LNC010750)". The record is from RNAcentral. Lineage: Eukaryota; Viridiplantae; Streptophyta; Magnoliopsida; Apiales; Araliaceae.